AUUGAACGCUGGCGGCAGGCCUAACACAUGCAAGUCGAACGAGUGGCGGACGGGUGGGCAAUGUCUGGGCAACUGCCUGAGGGAGGGGGAUAACUACUGGAAACGGUAGCUACUACCGCAUACCUGCAGAUGUGCCCAGAUGGGAUUAGCUUGUUGGUGGGGUAAAGGCUCACCAAGGCGACGAUCCCUAACUGGUCUGAGAGGAUGACCAGCCACACUGGAACUGAGACACGGUCCAGACUCCUACGGGAGGCAGCAGUGGGGAAUAUUGCACAAUGGGCGCAAGCCUGAUGCAGCCAUGCCGCGUGUAUGAAGAAGGCCUUCGGGUUGUAAAGUACUUUCAGCGGGGAGGCGUUACCCGCAGAAGAAGCACCGGCUAACUCCGUGCCAGCAGCCGCGGUAAUAC
This 406-nucleotide ribosomal RNA is filed under the name uncultured bacterium. RNAcentral describes it as "partial 16S ribosomal RNA". It matches the Rfam family "Bacterial small subunit ribosomal RNA", at positions 30 to 526 of the family's 1533-position model. The record is from RNAcentral.